CUACAUGCACGGGCAGGUGAG
RNAcentral lists this microRNA (21 nucleotides) under Gallus gallus (chicken). Its description in RNAcentral is "gga-miR-7478-3p". The record is from miRBase by way of RNAcentral. Lineage: Eukaryota; Metazoa; Chordata; Aves; Galliformes; Phasianidae.